Long non-coding RNA from Acanthopagrus latus (yellowfin seabream), 1737 nucleotides. RefSeq lists it as uncharacterized. The transcript is spliced from 2 exons. NCBI's taxonomy places the organism in Eukaryota, Metazoa, Chordata, Actinopteri, Spariformes, Sparidae. The record is from RefSeq and is a predicted model, not a curated record.
UCAAAGAGUUGUUUUCACUCGUUGUUUGGUUCUGUACUGUAGGCAUGGUGAUGCAUGAAAGAUCUUUUUCUGUCCUCACAUCCUUUUAUUGCCUUUUAUUUUCAAUCCACGAUAACACAAACGCCAGUUUGGCAUCCAACGCAGUUUUCCUUGUCACUUUGAAUAUGCACAGAUUCAUUGUGGUGUCUUAACGCUCCCACAGCCUUUCUCCGUUUGUUGGGCUGUUCAUUGUAUUUAUCGUUGUGGACUUUAAAGAGAGUGCCCUGAUUUAUUGAAAGCAUCAGAUUUUGAGCAUUUAUUGCUUCUGAGAAUGGAGAUCUGAGAGCGGUCGGGCUUUGUGUAACCAUCUGAAGUUAAUACAGGGUCACAGCUAACUAUAGCUUUGGAGUCGAGCAUCAUCAGUGUAAGUUCUGCACUCAGUAUGACUUGGCCUCUCAGUGACCACGGUCUUAAUGUUUGUAAGCCCUCAGAUCUAAUAGUAUGAAUAAACUCUCUGUCAGGGAAAAACUUCACUGAUAUUUUUUUUGUGUUACACAACAAUCAACUGCUAAAUUCAUAAAAAAGGCAUCCAGUAUUAACUUCAGAGAACAUAUGAACAUAUUUCGACAAAGCUUUUUUUCCACUGAAGCUUGUGAACUGCGGGAACUGGUUUAAUCCACACUUCUCACGUACAGGAAAUGGGUUACCCACUGUGCAUCAGGCAAACAGGAUUUAAGAAGCAUCAAGCCACAAUCAACGCAAUAGGCUGACCUUCUGACCUCGUUCCACAUAUUAGCCUCAAAAGGAUCGUGAGAUUGAAAUUAUUAGAUACAGUGAAUCUAAUUUAUGUUUCAUGAUUAAUACGACCUUUUGACAAGCACAUAAUAGGUCUCAGUGUACUCAGCCUGGAGGUGCUGUGGAAAAUAUCUUAGCAAGUGGCCCCUCUGAAAGAAGCUCUGCAGUCCUCCUUAGAAGGAAAUAAAGUACAGCUCUAUUGAAAUAAGCAUUUUAUGAUGUAUUACUGUAUAGACCAUAACAUUGUCACUGGUAUCAAUGGUAUUUUCCUAUAUCAUGAUAGUAUCAAAAUACAAAAUCUGUUAAAAAUUUAUCUAGAAUCAGAUUUUUAAGCCAGUGUGGCAAAGAUGUUACCAUUAUGUGUUGGUAUGUGUUCAGUGACCUUUUUCAGUGCUGUGUGCAGGUUGUAAUUACAAACAUUUAAAAAAAAAAUACCCUGUUUUGUGUGCAUAUGACUUUUGCAUAUGACUGAAGAAAGAAAGACAUCAGGUAUAGUAUGUGCAAGAUACAAGUAUCGUGACAACCCUAAUGGGGUACUAUCAUACUGUUGUGUUAUACUCGGCUAUUCUUUAUGAUCUGGAAAAUAUGAGCAACGUUCUUUUUGAAAAAAUACUGUCCAGCAAGACGAAUGUAAAUGGAAAGGAACACUGAUGUCCUGUCUGACAGUAUCACUGGUACUAAUGGUUAUGUUCCUAUUUUAUUUGCAGGUCACCUCUUUCACGGUAAACACACCAAAAUGUGGAAAAGAGCAAAGACCGAGGGCUCCGCUCCCAGCAGACGAAGUACAGUACUGCAAUCCUUCCCUUCUCUUUAAAUUUCUUAUUUUCCGCUGCUUAUUCCUGUUUCAUUGCACUGAUUAAAAUAAUAAUUAAGGGGUACUAAAGUGGUAAACAGCAGAUUGAGGCAAGCUGUCAGUGGAAGUUUUUGCAAUGACCAAUUAAAUUUUUACAGAGAUUAACAUUA